GGAAGAAAUAAGAUUCACAACUCCGUACAAGUUCGCUGUCACGGUCAAAACUUUCACUGGUACUACAACACGUAUAGAGCAAAGGGACUAGCUUCAACAUGUAAAAAUAAUCAUUUUGGAUUCGGAAUUUUUCUGCCUGCCCAUUUCUGAACUUAACGACGUUUGGCUAUGGGAUCUGCGUUUCAAGAUCCGGAAUCAGAAUGGAAAAGAUAUAUUCCAUCCCCCACUUAUAAUGUUCCUGAGUCUCUGAUACCAAGAACUUUUACCAGUGAAUGGACGAAACCCGUACAAAAAUACUCAAAACU
This is a long non-coding RNA of Folsomia candida, 305 nucleotides long. RefSeq lists it as uncharacterized. The record is from RefSeq and is a predicted model, not a curated record. The transcript has 3 exons. NCBI's taxonomy places the organism in Eukaryota, Metazoa, Arthropoda, Collembola, Entomobryomorpha, Isotomidae.